CCUACGGGUGGCAGCAGUGAGGAAUAGUGGUCAAUGGACGGAAGUCUGAACCAGCCAUGCCGCGUGAAGGAAGAAGGCUCUAUGAGGUGUAAACUGCUUUUGUACAAGGGAAAACCGGAAUACGUGUAUGCAGCUGAAAGUACGGUACGAAUAAGGAUCGGCUAACGCCGUGCCAGCAGCCGAGGUAAUACGGCGGUUCCAAGCGUUAUCCGGAUUUAUUGGGUUUCAAGGGUGCGGAGGCUGUUUGAUAAGUUAGAGGUGAAAUGUCCGAGCUUAACCCGGGAACUUCCUUUAAUACUGUUGAUCUAGAGUGUAGUUGCGGUAGGCGGACUUUCUGGUGUAGCGGUGAAAUGCUUAGAUCUCA
Molecule: ribosomal RNA, 364 nt
Filed under: uncultured bacterium
Lineage: Bacteria
Description: partial 16S ribosomal RNA
Rfam family: Bacterial small subunit ribosomal RNA
Source: RNAcentral